This 253-nucleotide ribosomal RNA is filed under the name uncultured bacterium. RNAcentral's name for it is "partial 16S ribosomal RNA". It matches the Rfam family "Bacterial small subunit ribosomal RNA", at positions 524 to 776 of the family's 1533-position model. The record is from RNAcentral.
UACAGAGGGUGCAAGCGUUGUUCGGAAUUAUUGGGCGUAAAGCGCGUGUAGGCGGCUUGUCGCGUCGGGAGUGAAAACCUUGGGCUUAACUCAGGGCUUGCUUUCAAUACGGGCAGACUAGAGGUAUGCAGGGGAGAACGGAAUUCCUGGUGUAGCGGUGAAAUGCGCAGAUAUCAGGAGGAACACCGGUGGCGAAGGCGGUUCUCUGGGCAUGAUCUGACGCUGAGGAGCGAAAGUGUGGGGAGCGAACAGG